RNAcentral lists this microRNA precursor (178 nucleotides) under Picea abies (Norway spruce). RNAcentral describes it as "miR482w stem-loop (pab-MIR482w)". Its record names the gene pab-MIR482w. Lineage: Eukaryota; Viridiplantae; Streptophyta; Pinopsida; Pinales; Pinaceae. The record is from miRBase by way of RNAcentral.
GUGAUUGAUCCGUCUGAUACUGUGAUUUGGUCACAGUCUCUCAAGUUUGUUGAGGGAAAAAUAACUUAGAGAUGGAUGAAAUUCAGUUUACAGACAUUUCAUUCAUAUCUAAGUUGAUUCGCUGAACAAUUUUGAGAAACUGUGAGCCAAAUCACAAUACCAUGCAUACAUCACUCAC